Molecule: ribosomal RNA, 358 nt
Filed under: uncultured Hebeloma
Lineage: Eukaryota; Fungi; Basidiomycota; Agaricomycetes; Agaricales; Cortinariaceae
Description: eukaryotic LSU rRNA
Rfam family: Eukaryotic large subunit ribosomal RNA
Source: RNAcentral
UUGACCUCAAAUCAGGUAGGACUACCCGCUGAACUUAAGCAUAUCAAUAAGCGGAGGAAAAGAAACUAACAAGGAUUCCCCUAGUAACUGCGAGUGAAGCGGGAAAAGCUCAAAUUUAAAAUCUGGCGGUCUCCGGCCGUCCGAGUUGUAAUCUAGAGAAGUGUUAUCCGCGCUGGACCGUGUACAAGUCUCCUGGAAUGGAGCGUCAUAGAGGGUGAGAAUCCCGUCUUUGACACGGACUACCAGGGCUUUGUGAUGCGCUCUCAAAGAGUCGAGUUGUUUGGGAAUGCAGCUCAAAAUGGGUGGUAAAUUCCAUCUAAAGCUAAAUAUUGGCGAGAGACCGAUAGCGAACAAGUAC